GCUCAGAAACUCAAUGAAUUGACGGGGCCCGCACAAGCGGUGGAGUAUGUGGUUUAAUUCGAUGCAACGCGAAGAACCUUACCUGGUCUUGACAUCCCGGAGACCCUUAGGAAACUAGGGGGUGCUUCCAUCUGGAAGAAUCUGGAGACAGGUGCUGCAUGGCUGUCGUCAGCUCGUGUCGUGAGAUGUUGGGUUAAGUCCCGCAACGAGCGCAACCCUUGCCUUUAGUUGCCAGCAGUUCGGCUGGGCACUCUAAAGGGACUGCCGGUGUUAAACCGGAGGAAGGUGGGGAUGACGUCAAGUCCUCAUGGCCUUUAUGACCAGGGCUACACACGUACUACAAUGGCCGAUACAAAGGGCAGCGACACUGCGAGGUGAAGCCAAUCCCGUAAAAUCGGUCUCAGUCCGGAUUGGAGUCUGCAACUCGACUCCAUGAAGUUGGAAUCGCUAGUAAUCGUGGAUCAGCAUGCCACGGUGAAUACGUUCCCGGGCCUU
Molecule: ribosomal RNA, 495 nt
Filed under: uncultured Desulfobulbus sp.
Lineage: Bacteria; Pseudomonadati; Thermodesulfobacteriota; Desulfobulbia; Desulfobulbales; Desulfobulbaceae
Description: bacterial SSU rRNA
Rfam family: Bacterial small subunit ribosomal RNA
Source: RNAcentral